This 301-nucleotide ribosomal RNA is filed under the name uncultured bacterium. RNAcentral describes it as "partial 16S ribosomal RNA". It matches the Rfam family "Bacterial small subunit ribosomal RNA", at positions 509 to 809 of the family's 1533-position model. The record is from RNAcentral.
CAGCCGCCGCGGUAAUACGAAGGGGGCUAGCGUUGCUCGGAAUCACUGGGCGUAAAGGGUGCGUAGGCGGGUUUUUAAGUCAGAGGUGAAAUCCUGGAGCUCAACUCCAGAACUGCCUUUGAUACUGAAAGUCUUGAGUAUGGGAGAGGUGAGUGGAACUGCGAGUGUAGAGGUGAAAUUCGUAGAUAUUCGGAAGAACACCAGUGGCGAAGGCGGCUCACUGGCUCAUACUGGACGCUGAGGUGCGAAAGCGUGGGGAGCAAACAGGAUUAGAUACCCGAGUAGUCCCUGUCUCUUAUAA